RNAcentral lists this ribosomal RNA (468 nucleotides) under uncultured bacterium. RNAcentral describes it as "partial 16S ribosomal RNA". It matches the Rfam family "Bacterial small subunit ribosomal RNA", at positions 28 to 507 of the family's 1533-position model. The record is from RNAcentral.
GACGAACGCUGGCGGCGUGCUUAACACAUGCAAGUCGAACGGAAAGGCCCUGCUUUUGUGGGGUGCUCGAGUGGCGAACGGGUGAGUAACACGUGAGUAACCUGCCCUUGACUGUGGGAUAACUUCAGGAAACUGGGGCUAAUACCGGAUAGGAGCUCCUGCUGCAUGGUGGGGGUUGGAAAGUUUCGGCGGUUGGGGAUGGACUCGCGGCUUAUCAGCUUGUUGGUGGGGUAGUGGCUUACCAAGGCUUUGACGGGUAGCCGGCCUGAGAGGGUGACCGGCCACAUUGGGACUGAGAUACGGCCCGGACUCCUACGGGAGGCAGCAGUGGGGAAUAUUGCACAAUGGGCGGAAGCCUGAUGCAGCAACGCCGCGUGCGGGAUGACGGCCUUCGGGUUGUAAACCGCUUUCGCCUGUGACGAAGCGUGAGUGACGGUAAUGGGUAAAGAAACACCGGCUAACUACGUG